This 97-nucleotide ribosomal RNA is filed under the name uncultured bacterium. RNAcentral's name for it is "partial 16S ribosomal RNA". It matches the Rfam family "Bacterial small subunit ribosomal RNA", at positions 1384 to 1482 of the family's 1533-position model. The record is from RNAcentral.
UACACACCGCCCGUCACGUCAUGAAAGUUGGCAACACCUGAAGCCGUUGGGCUAACCGCAAGGAGGCAGGCGUCGAGGGUGGGCCAGCGAUUGGACG